GGUUGUGGCUCAGUGGUAGAGUGCUCGCCUAGCAUGCGUAAGCACUGGGUUCAAUCCUCAGGACCA
Molecule: transfer RNA, 66 nt
Filed under: Marmota monax (woodchuck)
Lineage: Eukaryota; Metazoa; Chordata; Mammalia; Rodentia; Sciuridae
Description: tRNA.Ala
Source: RNAcentral